This 65-nucleotide transfer RNA is filed under the name Lepas australis. RNAcentral describes it as "tRNA-His". The record is from RNAcentral. Lineage: Eukaryota; Metazoa; Arthropoda; Thecostraca; Lepadidae.
UGUUCAAAUAGUUUAUAAAAAUAAAGAUCUGUGGAUUCUUAGAUACGCUAAGGCGUUUUGGACAU